CCCACCUUCCAUGAGCUGCUUCGUGGCAGAGCCAUGUCUAUGAGAAUUCCACCCAGCAUGCGAUGCACGUGUUCUUCCAUGAUCCGGUAGCUGUAGGACUCCAGCAUCGUCUUCUCCUUGGCUGUCUGCGAUCUAAGCAAGGCCCUAAUGUGUGAACAGAAGAGGUACCCACACACAUUGGACUGGAGAUACCUGAUGAGAUGGAGCCAGUUAUUAAUGAUUUGGAAAUGGGACCGAUUGCUAAGUCAGGUGAUGAACAAUUACCCAGCCAGCUUCAUAAGCUGUCACUAGGGGUAAUGAUUCUUCCCAUGAGGAUCCAACUUUGAUACAAGCUGACAACAGAAUGGGUACAGCAGUUCAAACUGGGCCAGAGUGCAGAGGAUGUCAAAAAUUUCGACAACUCAUCUCAUCAAGAAUCUAAGGUAUACUUGCUGCAAUUCCAUCAAGUGAUGAAUCAGUUGACUACAACUCGGGGAAGGAGAGUAGAAGAAUGGACAAUGGACAAAGCUCAAAUCCUCAUGC
Molecule: long non-coding RNA, 522 nt
Organism: Carcharodon carcharias (great white shark)
Lineage: Eukaryota; Metazoa; Chordata; Chondrichthyes; Lamniformes; Lamnidae
Exons: 3
Source: RefSeq, a predicted model, not a curated record